RNAcentral lists this transfer RNA (68 nucleotides) under Erythrocebus patas (red guenon). RNAcentral describes it as "tRNA-His". The record is from RNAcentral. Lineage: Eukaryota; Metazoa; Chordata; Mammalia; Primates; Cercopithecidae.
GUAAAUAUAGUUUAAUUAAAACACCAGAUUGUGAAUCUGACUAUGAGGCCAGUCACUUCUUAUUUACC